CAAUAUCAACAGAGUCGUCAGGGCCAAUAACUGCAACACUUGACACACGCCAAAAUUUAGAGGGGGGUCCGUCACUACCAUUUUUGUUUUCAAUUUUUCAAUGAUGUCGAAAUGUAUUUUUUCAAUGGAAUAGUGGCAAAAAAUAGCAGAAAAUUAAAAUAGUAACUACUUUUCAUAACCAAUAUGUAGGCGAAGAUAAAGUUCAUCACUACAGAAGACCAUUUUAUCGUCCCGGUGGCGCUCUUCGAGUGUAGAAUCCCGCGAUCAAUACUCGGUGGCAAACUAGAAAAUGGGGUGUGACGCAGGCGAAUCACGAAUCACGAGCUUACGAAGUACACAAACACUCUGAUAUUGUCAAGCUGAUGAAACACGGUAGGUUACAGUGGGCUGGCCAAUGAGCCCGGAUGGCGGAUGAGCAACCAGCAAAGAUAAUAUUUAGCAGAGAACCGGAUAGAGACCGCCGACUUCGAGGUAGACUUCGCACGCGCUGGAUGUGUGUUAUCGACGAGGAUUCCAGAGCGACGGGUGUAAGGGAAGACUGGAGAGGAGCAGCCCAAGACCGAGGUUUGUGGAGACGUAUUCUGGAUUCGGUAAAGAAUCUCAACGAUCUGAUGUUUAUACAUUGCCAAAGUAACGACGCUUUUAUACUAAAGAAGAAGCACUCAGUCCGGUUGUUAUUUACGAGACAUCCUUGACUUUGGUAAAACAACUGGUAGCUGUUUCAUACUCCCUCUCAAUCCGACAUGCCUGAGUUGACGUUAGUAACUUGAAGCGGAUGC
Wyeomyia smithii (pitcher-plant mosquito) is the source of this 779-nucleotide long non-coding RNA. RefSeq lists it as uncharacterized. The record is from RefSeq and is a predicted model, not a curated record. The transcript has 3 exons. NCBI's taxonomy places the organism in Eukaryota, Metazoa, Arthropoda, Insecta, Diptera, Culicidae.